CGUCCCUAUAUGUGUCCCAGUAUGUGUGCGCUUAUAUCACCUUGUGUGCGUUCUUAGCUACAUAUGCCCUCCAUCGCCCGUACACUCAUUCAGGCCUAUGGAAAAAAAUAAUCGAAUGGUGGAUGCUGUGAUGAAAGCUCUCUCGUUAAACCCUUCCUUAUUUUGGCAUUAAUGUAUAGAUGUAUGUAGAGGCCGAAAGAUAAAAGAUUGGAAUAUAGAUAUACAAGGUACGAAGCAAUAUGUGGUACAAUAGGGCAGAAGGUUAUUUUACACACAAAAAUAAGUGAAAUAUGUAGAAUAACACGAUAAUAUACUUCAAAAAGGUAAGUUUACUAAUUUGUCAUGUAUGUAUAUUUGAACUUGGCUAAUUCCGGCCUGAGCAGGACUGAAUAAUCGACAGAAGCAUAUUCUAUGUAUUAAAAUAUGUCGGAAACCUAAAAUAACUUUUAUUUAUUCGACUUUUAUUUCGAAAAAAAUUAAGUUUGAAAAUUCAUCAAGUACAUAUAUACCAGAUUGGGUGUAUAUACAUACAUACGCUCAAAUUUGAGUUUGUCAAACACGAGACAUUAACACGUUACGCCGGGCGUACCACCGGUGGUUCACGCUUAAGUUCCCUAUCAGGCGGCGUGCACCACCGGUGGCUCACACUUGAAUGUUCCAUCAGACGGUACGUACCACCAAAAAUGUAGUUCGUUUAGUAACUAGAAAAAAUUGCCAUACAGUUGAAAAUUUAAAUAAUAGAAAUUUAACGUAUAUUAAUUGAAGAAAGUAGGAUUUAUUUAAAAACAUAACAAUUCAAUAUUAUAAAUUUAUUGUGAACAUGAAUACGAGCGCCGCCCCACGGCGAGAAACACAAAUAGCAGCGCCAGCGUGAACGUGUUAAACGAGAAAGUAUACUACAUCGAGUAGACAUGAUAUUGAUAUUCAUGACGAUAAGAGAUGACAGUUCUUAAAUUCGCGCUAGAACAAAUGUUGUCUAUGACAUGAGUAUGUACAUGAAAAUGAGUUAGUUAUAAUUUGACGUCAUACACACUGAGGAUAGAUGGAAUUUGUGAUUUGACGCACCACAUACUACGUCAUACACUUAUGAAUGAUACUUAAUGAACGAUUUCUUCUAUAAGGAAAGCAUACAUGUGUAGUAAAAAAAAUUGCUUGAAUAUGAUAAAAAGGAUAAAAAAAGGUGCCAUAUCGACCUUGGAACAGAGGAUAUAUAUAUAUAUCCUUCUUCAAAUAAAUUUAACGGUUAUUUAAUUAAAUCCCAAAAAUUUGAAUUUUAAAUGAUAUAUUUCGAAUUUCAAUGCAGUAGACACUUCCUUAAUUCCUUCUUCAUGGAUGGAAAACUCCCUGUUAUGCAAAGACAGUUGUCAUGCAAAACGAAGGAAAGCAUGGAGAAUCACUACCAAGUAAUCUCGAAGUCACGUUCAGAACAAGGAUGUCCUUGUUUUACGCCGACUACUGAUCGUUUUCCAGUCCCCGAGAGAAUUACCAGGGCUACCGUCUAGAUGUAUUAUAGUUAUGUAACCGUUUUGCGGAAGAAUAUCCCUUGUGCGUACCGGGUAUCCGUUUAAAAAUCAUGCGCGCUAUUAUAUUUGAAAUACAAAUUUUCUAACAUAAUGUUUGAUAAUAUAAACAUUGUCAUCUAUAAUUCGUACAUUCGUAGAUAUGUGGUCAACUGACUUAUGUAUGUUAAAGUUUAAGUUUCCAUGUAUCAAAUGAAAUGUAUCAAACGAUAACAUUUUGAACGAUAAUUACUGGCCCAUAAGGAAAUGUACAAUUUAACUACUGUUCUUUUACUCUUCAGCCCAUUGGUGCAGUACAAAUACAGGUGUUACUCGCAAGAAACAGCUCGUGCAUCUUUUAAUACUCAUAAAACUGCGUCUACCAUUGUGACACGGAGGAAGUGGUCAGACAUAAAGAACACUGUUGGACAGUCGAACACACGUGUAAGAACACGGUGUAAAGUGUGAGGAUUGGACGUGACAUGUUACCAUAGGAACGACGAGUUUAGGAUCUAGAAAGUGAAAAUUAAUAAAAAGUUAGUCAAUGGCUAUUUUCUAAUAAAGCAAAAUUUUAUGACAUUUACGACGACCUUGAGGUCGCUGUGAUUUCGUUAUGAGAUGUUACGGUAAAUGAGGAAAGUGCAAGGCAAUGUUUUCAAAACAAAAGAGAGACGCAUUGCUUGUGAGAACGUACUUUAAUUCUGGUGAAUACCUCUUGCUCUGUGCACGCCUCAGGGUGCGUCUGCAUCGUUGUUCGCGAAUACUUUCCCACCGUGGAGUUUGGCUGGAACAACGUCUACCAAUACGUACAUGUAUAUAUAUAUAUAUAUGUGUAUAUACAUAUACAUUUUUCUUUUUCUUUUUGUAAAUAUGCUGUACUUUUAUAUAGAGUACGAGUUUAUGACCUACACUUCGUUUCAGGUUAUGUUCUUGUUAUUAAGUUUUUUGAUGAAUAAAGAUCUAUCUGGAUGGUUGCUAUGAAAACAAACCGUAGUAGAGUUAAUGUCUGUCUUCAUGGAUGUCUUCAUGGAAGAAGUUAGUAACGAAGACAUAAUAUAUGGAUAAUAAAUAACGGUUAUGAGGUGCCAGAAAGUAAUCGCGUUCAUCGACGCUGUACACCAUAAACACGUAAUAACGUGGAGCCGUCUUCAUGGGUGUCCCACGUAUUAUGCAAGAGAUGGGCCGGUAGAAAAUUUUUCAGGCCGUUGAACAGAGUGUACAGUCCUCUGUAGCAUACCUUCGCCCACGAUCAAGUUCGAACUUACUUGAUUUCUCUUUAGGACCAGAAUAUCCUGUACAUGAUACAUCAAGGUUAGGAUGCAAUAGUAUCAACAGAAUCAGCCCUAAAAAUUCUUGAGCCACUAAAAAUGCAAUAGCUUGAGGAAAAUAUUUACAAAUUGUCCCACCUUCUCGUGAAGAAUACCUUAAGCUACGAUUCAUAGGCAGCUGCGAACAAUUUAAUACCAAUGUCACUCAGAGCUAACGCAUUAUAUUACGUCAGAUUUGAUCGAAGUGGUGGCACGGUUUCACCUAUAAUUUCGUGCAAUUUUAACGAGAAUCGCUUCAAAUUUCAUUUCUCACAAACAAUCUAAUAUGUGUAAAAUUACUUUUAAUAUUGACAAAAAGGACGCUAAUAAUUUCCUGAACGUAACCAUGACAGGGGGCGAGGUCGUCUUAAGACGAGUUCAACGCAAAUUCCAGAUAAAGAAUAUAAGAAGAAACAACCAUAAACACGACUCUUGAAGAACUCACUCGACGAAGAAAUAUCAUACUAAACGAGUCAUUGAAACGCAGAGUCCGUAAUGAUUAUUCGAAUUCCCCGCAUUGUUUUGACUUAAUUCAGUGUGAAUCGGCCUUAACCAGGACUCGUUGUGUUCUCAAAGAGCGAAAUUAAGAGAGAGAAGGAGGCGCACCAAGAGAAACAAAUGAACCGGGAGGAGAGUGAUGAGGAGAAGUACGAAGGAAUCGAAGAGGUGGCCGGGGACACGGAAGAGAAGAGAAGACGCGAGAAAGACGAAGAAACGAGAGGAAGGGAUCCGGAAUAUAAGUCUCUGCAAGGCCUCGCGGUUUCGCCGUUGCCUUCUCAGAACCGAUCGACUCUCGAAACGCGAGGGAACAACAAAAACCAGAUCGCUUAAAGUUGAUACCCAUUUCUUUACACCCCGAAUUUAAAUGCAACAAAGUCGAUCCAAAUCAUUUCGGUUCCUUUGCCACUUUAUCGAUAAAUAAAGCUGUUUACUAGGCAAUCAAACCGAACCUCGUUAAUAAUCAAUAUUGCUUAAUCUAUACUAAUAGAGGGCGUUGUUGAGUUGUGACUAAAAUAAUUAUCGUAAUUCCAAAACUUAACAAUAACAAGCACACAACAAUGAGGUUAUACUAUGCCUAGUCAUAGCUAUAGAUAACUAGAUUUAUACUCGUAUUUAAAAUAAAGUAGAGAUUUAGAAAAGUGUCUGACUUUUUACUUCUCUUUAGUUUAACCUGUUUGUUAAAUAAGAAGCUACAUUUGUUAUGUUGAUAUGGUUAAGUUGAUAGAAUUUAGCUCAUUUUGUAAGAACGAGUUCUAAUGGCUCACUUUGUUCGCGUCUCCGUGUAUAGCUUUAGCAUAGACCUCGAUAUGCCUCUCGUUUUACCAUGUCGGUAACUUCAACGAGAUAUUAUUUUUUCUUUGUUCAAUUAUUCGCUGCCGUAACGGCGUAUUGUGCAGCAUCAAAUGAAAAAGAGUUAACGGCGAGUUCAAUAUCAAACGUCUAGUUCAUUUACCAGUUUGCCAGCCUCUGCCAGCCUCUGCCAGGCUUUGUCAGCUAUUCAGAACAACGACCGGAUACGAAGUAGACGUAAACACUAAAUACAUAGAAUAUGGAAAUGAAUGCAAUGCUCGUGGAACAGGUCACGAAAUUCUUUUUGGGCCGGUCCUGAGACCCAGGCGCAGAAUAAAGAUUUUUGCCCCGAUAGAAAAAAAAAAAAUUUACCAUUCAUGCGCGUAGCUUGGGAAGCGCGAAAAAUUAUGCCGGAAUCUUUUUCCCCCCUUUUCGUCUGAAUCGGCGAUAUUGUCCGGCACAGAUUACACAGUUCCUUGCUCGGACUGCCGAAACCAUACCAGAUGGCGUAAUAUCCUUUGACUUCGUAUCAUAAUAAGUGAAUGCAAAAGUAAAGCGUGUGAUGCGUCGAACGAUGAUACCUUUCUAUACAGACAAAUUUUUGUUCGCGUGAUCCAUCCAAAGGUAACCUACUAUCUCAUUAUUCUUCUUCGAUGCCGUAAGACAUGCACGAAUGAAGAUGCACGAGAUGCAAGAAUUACGAUCCACAUUGCUCUCUUGAACCUCUAAUGAAAACUUGGAGAAUUGAGUUUCCUAGUACGAUUAUUACUUAGUAACUAGUAAUAUUAGAAAAUUGAUAGGCAUAUGGUUAAGUUUCAUAAUUUUACAAUUUUACAUCGAAUAUGACAAUUAGCUGAUUGAUGACAUUUAUUCGUAGAAUUUUAUUCAUUUAGUAUGAUUAUUUUACUAUUAUAAAAUUUGUCACUAUUAUACCAGAUGAUAUAUUAACAUUGGUAACUUGAAAAUUGGUAACUUGGUUUGUGAUUUGAAAAAUCUGACUACAGAUAUUACUUUAUGCAAGAGGGUCCUACUAUUAUAAACAUUAUUCUUUAAAAGUAUACUUGCAUAAUAACGUAUUUUAUUAAAAAUUCAAUAAUGUUUCUACAGAUACCCGACAUACCCCCUGUCCAUUCAGUAUUCUUGCGGAAUCAAGAAGAAGAAAAGGGGGCCGCUCCAAAUAGGAUUAAGAGCUAUCCACUCUGAAAAAACGUCUGUGAGGAAUGUCGGGAAAAUAAAUGAUAAGCUGUCGUCAAAUAAUAUCACGCACUAGACGUAUAGUUGGAUAAUACAAAUUAAUCGUCUAUGUGGCAUGAAAUUCCUCGAACGGGACCAGCUACGAAACAGACGCCAUAUACGUCGGAUGGAAGGCAAGAGCGGUAUGCCUGAGAAUGGAUGCAGGUCGUUUCGACAACGCAGACAGGUUUUUCCCUUUGAAGUGCACGGGGAAUCCGCCUUCCGGGUUCUCAUUCGUUCCACGUCCACUCGUCCUAUAUACUCCCAUAGAUAACUCGCCUGGAGGCGACUGAGAACCAUCGAGCGUGGCGCUGUUGGUAUUCGGUACAAGGAACUCGCGGG
Bombus huntii is the source of this 5671-nucleotide long non-coding RNA. RefSeq lists it as uncharacterized. The transcript is spliced from 3 exons. The record is from RefSeq and is a predicted model, not a curated record. NCBI's taxonomy places the organism in Eukaryota, Metazoa, Arthropoda, Insecta, Hymenoptera, Apidae.